UUGCACGAGCUCCGGAGCUUUCUCUGACUAGUUUUGAUUGAAGAAGAAUGCCCUAAAGUUAGUGCUAGAUGGUGAUGCCAUUGGGUGUUGCAGUUUAGCAUUUGUACCAAUUUGUGUCAAUUUGAAGUAUACAUCC
Small nucleolar RNA from Diospyros lotus (date-plum), 136 nucleotides. RefSeq annotates it as small nucleolar RNA snoR134. NCBI's taxonomy places the organism in Eukaryota, Viridiplantae, Streptophyta, Magnoliopsida, Ericales, Ebenaceae. The record is from RefSeq and is a predicted model, not a curated record. The transcript has a single exon.